UAUUCUGAUACUGGGCUUCUUUUUAAAAGCCCACAUUAAACAUUGGACCCAUUCUUAUUGGGCUUCAACUUUAUUGUGCAUUGGCUCAAAUUCGGUUAGCUCAAAGCCUUUGACCCGAUCGGCGUCCGGCGGGUCUGUUCUCCGGCACGGUAAUCGGAACUUCCAGCACUCCUUCCGUCAACAAUACUUUUCUGCUUUCGCAGUUCGGCAACUUGGGACCUUAGGCGGGUACUUCUUGGAAGUCGAAUGGAGGGCACCAACCCAGGCCAUAAGAGGCCUUCUGAUCGACUCAUUGACCCCGUCCAUGUAUGGGGAAGUUGUAAGAUGAAGGGUGAGAAGAACAAAUAUUGUUCCUCUAGCAUUGAAGAACCAUGAAGUGAUGCAUAUAUCUAGCCUCAAAGACACCACACAUAGUUUGGAAUCAUGUGAAUAUAGAACACAACACGUUUUGAGCACAUCCAACGCUACCACCGUCAUCAACUCUUACAAUGUCAUCUAAAUUGUCGAUUCUUGUGUGGGACACUUGCAGUCCCAAGUCACGAUGGAUAUGUUAAAAGGUGUAGGUGUUCAUGCAGACAAAAAUGGUAUCUUGGCCUCCCAUUAGUUUCCCAAUCUUUACCUUUCAAAGUUGUUGCACUAAGUGUAAGCAUUGUGUUGAUGGGAGAUGGUAGUAUUCAACGAAUUAAUCGAGGUAUUCGACUCAGCAACGAGGCAAACCCGUCUAGUCCUAUCGGGAUGAUAAAGGAUAUCAAUGGUGUUGUUUUGAUGACGAUUAAUUCCUUCUACACCAUUAAAGUUUGUGGUGAAAUGAAUAUGAUUUCUUCAUUUAAAAUAUAAUUAGAUGUUUGUCUUCGAGUUGUAGGAUGGUAAAAUAUCCCAUUAUGGAACGCUUUCCCUUUUAAUUGACGGUAAGGCCCCGUUUGGCCAUAGAUUUUCUAAAUAAAAAGUGGAAUUUUUUUUUGGCAAAUAGUGUGUCUAUAUAAUUUGCUAUUUGGCAAAUAAUCCAAAUUUUCAGUUACUAGAAAAAAUUAGUGUUUUGGGAACUUUUAAAAUUGAAGUUUUACACCAAAAACAUUCUUUACAGUAGUUGUUUGCAUUGUAUCACAUAAUCUUUUACAUGAACACCAAAGGAAUGAUGGAAUAUUCAAUGAAUACGAAGGUGAUGAUAUGAUUGUUGCGGAUCAGGGAAAUAAAGCCACGUGCUUCAUCUACUUCACGAUGUAUAGAAUAAUGUAUGUCGCACUCUCUCUGAACAAUCACUACUUGUUAUUUGUUGCAACAAAGAUUCAACUAACUUUGUGGUGUAGUCAUGAAUCUUAUUAUAUUGACGUUUUUAUCUUUUUAUAUAAUACAAACUUAUGGUUAGUUUUGAUAGUUUUAA
Molecule: long non-coding RNA, 1381 nt
Organism: Solanum pennellii
Lineage: Eukaryota; Viridiplantae; Streptophyta; Magnoliopsida; Solanales; Solanaceae
Exons: 6
Source: RefSeq, a predicted model, not a curated record